UGGGGAAUUUUGGACAAUGGGCGAAAGCCUGAUCCAGCAAUGCCGCGUGUGUGAAGAAGGCCUUCGGGUUGUAAAGCACUUUUGUCCGGAAAGAAAUCCUCUGGGUUAAUACCUCGGGGGGAUGACGGUACCGGAAGAAUAAGCACCGGCUAACUACGUGCCAGCAGCCGCGGUAAUACGUAGGGUGCAAGCGUUAAUCGGAAUUACUGGGCGUAAAGCAUGCGCAGGCGGUUUUGUAAGACGGAUGUGAAAUCCCCGGGCUUAACCUGGGAACUGCAUUCGUGACUGCAAGGCUAGAGUAUGGCAGAGGGGGGUAGAAUUCCACGUGUAGCAGUGAAAUGCGUAGAGAUGUGGAGGAAUACCGAUGGCGAAGGCAGCCCCCUGGGCCAAUACUGACGCUCAUGCACGAAAGCGUGGGGAGCAAACAGGAUUAGAUACCCUGGUAGUCCACGCCCUAAACGAUGUCAACUAGUUGUUGGGGAUUCAUUUCCUUAGUAACGUAGCUAACGCGUGAAGUUGACCGCCUGGGGAGUACGGUCGCAAGAUU
Molecule: ribosomal RNA, 547 nt
Filed under: uncultured bacterium
Lineage: Bacteria
Description: partial 16S ribosomal RNA
Rfam family: Bacterial small subunit ribosomal RNA
Source: RNAcentral